This 502-nucleotide ribosomal RNA is filed under the name uncultured bacterium. RNAcentral describes it as "bacterial SSU rRNA". It matches the Rfam family "Bacterial small subunit ribosomal RNA", at positions 28 to 525 of the family's 1533-position model. The record is from RNAcentral.
GACGAACGCUAGCGGCAGGCUUAAUACAUGCAAGUCGUACGGGAUCCGAGGUAGCAAUACUUUGGUGAGAGUGGCGCACGGGUGCGUAACACGUAUGCAACCUACCUAUAACCGGGACACAACCUCGAGAAAUUGAGGCUAAUAUCCCAUAACACUGCGAGAUGGCAUCAUUUUGCAGUUAAAACUCCGGUGGUUAUAGAUGGGCAUGCGCGACAUUAGCUAGUUGGUGAGGUAACGGCCCACCAAGGCUACGAUGUCUAGGGGUUCUGAGAGGAUUAUCCCCCACACUGGUACUGAGACACGGACCAGACUCCUACGGGAGGCAGCAGUAAGGAAUAUUGGUCAAUGGGCGCAAGCCUGAACCAGCCAUGCCGCGUGAAGGAUGACGGCCCUAUGGGUUGUAAACUCCUUUUGUCGGGGAAGAAGAGUCAUCUUGCGAGGUGAUGUGACGGUACCCGAUGAAUAAGCCACGGCUAACUACGUGCCAGCAGCCGCGGUAAUC